GGGAGCUACCGGUACUAGACGUGCGAGCUCUUCAGGAUUUCACCUCCAAGAUUAGACUCUCAGAAGACUUGUCUUCCUUCCAGGAUUCCUCUAAAGCUGAAACUAGUUUGCAUGCCACUUCACACCAAGGAGCUUCAAAUAUAUUCACUUCCUAUACACCUUGUUCAGGUAAGGAUAAAGUACGUGUAGCUGAUGGGUCCAUGGCACCUAUCACGGGACGUGGAUCUGUUAGGAGCUAGAGAUAGGGAGACUGUUGGGGACUGGGACCGUGCAUGAUGGACUCUACUAUCUUGAUGAAGGAAGUGAUGAAGUUGCGUUUGCAUCAUGCUUGUCUCCUAGUCAAGAACUACUACUACACCAUCGCAGGCUUGUGCAUCUCUCUUUUCCUGCAUUGUUUCGUAUUUACCCCUCUCUUUUCAAGUUGUGUCCUAGGGAGCUGCUUGUAUGUGAUGCUUGUGAAUUGGCUAAACAUACAAGAGGUUCAUAUCC
This is a non-coding RNA of Aegilops tauschii subsp. strangulata, 489 nucleotides long. Lineage: Eukaryota; Viridiplantae; Streptophyta; Magnoliopsida; Poales; Poaceae. The record is from RefSeq and is a predicted model, not a curated record.